CAUUGCUGCCUCCCUGCCUCUCCCUCUCCUAUGGGCACUGCAUCUGCCUACAUUAACCAUAAUCCUCUCCUGCUUACGUCACAUACCCAGAUGUGACGAUGACCCUGUUGUAUUCAUCCCCUUAACCUCUUCCUGUCCCACCUCCCGCCCUUGGCCUAUAAAAGAUAUGAUCAUUUCCUGAAUAAACGGAGGCUUGAUUGGAUUAUUUCAACUUGCUUUCAUCUCUCUUUGUCUCCCCUAUGUCUUUUAUUUAAUCCCCGUUCCCCCUUCAGGAAUUUCCCAUGGAUUGAUCUGCGGGCCAGAUCAAGUGGCGCUCAGCGUGGGGGCUCCUGGCACAGAGGAGUUAACAAGGGAGCCUUCAACAGACAGCCGGCUUAAACUGAAAGUGAAAGCAAAUUGAACCAGAGACCUCUGCCGAGGAGUGAGCAAACUGAAUCAAGGAUUAAAGCUUAAAGCAACAGGACAUUAAAUCAAGUACUGAGGCCUGUGCAGACAACUACCCAACGUCCUGCCCGAGUCAUGGUGACACAAUCCCCCGGAGCCUUAUGCUGUCUACUCGGCCUUCUCCUUGAGCCAUACCACACCCAUGGUGGAUUUCAACCCCUGCCAAACAGACUACAACUGCUGACAGCCAUGCACAGAACCCCUGUGACUGUGGAAGAGGCUUUUCUCAGUCUGGAGGAACAUACACCAGCCAAAUAGACUGCAUCCAGUGUUAUGUGAGGCAUGUUCCAAGACAUAGGAGAACGACUUCAACAGAGACACCAACAAAUGGCUGUCAACCCCUUCUCCUCGAUGUGUGUGUGUGUGUGGGGGGGGGAGUUUUUCCCUUACCUAGUGCCCGUUUUGGGUCCCCUAGCUGCCCUAUUGUUUCUCAUUUCUGUGAGUCCUUGUAUUUUUCAGAGGAUUAUGAUGCUCAUUAAUAACCAGACAGACGCGUUUAUGGCAAAGCCCAUUCAGGUACACUAUCAUCAGCUGGAGAUGGCAGAUCAACAAACCUACCGGGAAGGAAUUCCCACGAGUGGCCCAUAUGACGAUGCAGCCUAACUGUCCUGGGGCAAUGGACAGGCAGUCAGAGACAGGCAACUAGGACAUGCAUGUUAAUUCCAUCGGCCACCUAAGACAGGCACAGGACCAACUGCUGUUCUGCAAGCCCAUGACAGGUAAGGCCUGGUUGGGUUCAUGCAAUGAGGUCCUUGACCUAAGACAGACGCUGUCUGGCAGGGCCUGCCAUACUCUUGAUUAAAUAAAAUAAAAAGGGAGGAGAUGUAGGGAGCCGAGUGACAGCCCAUUGCUGCCUCCCUGCCUCUCUCCUAUGGGCACUGCGUCUGCCUACAUUAACCAUAAUCCUCUCCUGCUUACGUCACAUACCCAGAUGUGACGAUGACCCUGUUGUAUUCAUCCCCUUAACCUCUUCCUGUCCCACCUCCCGCCCUUGGCCUAUAAAAGAUGUGAUCAUUUCCUGAAUAAACAGAGGCUUGAUCGAA
Cavia porcellus (domestic guinea pig) is the source of this 1487-nucleotide long non-coding RNA. RefSeq lists it as uncharacterized. NCBI's taxonomy places the organism in Eukaryota, Metazoa, Chordata, Mammalia, Rodentia, Caviidae. The transcript is spliced from 2 exons. The record is from RefSeq and is a predicted model, not a curated record.